RNAcentral lists this transfer RNA (60 nucleotides) under Linshcosteus costalis. RNAcentral's name for it is "tRNA-Lys". Lineage: Eukaryota; Metazoa; Arthropoda; Insecta; Hemiptera; Reduviidae. The record is from RNAcentral.
UAGAGUAUAUAUUGAUGAUUUUUAGUCAUACGUUUAUCAGUAAUUUCUGAUAUACUCUAA